Molecule: ribosomal RNA, 1235 nt
Filed under: Candidatus Phytoplasma pyri
Lineage: Bacteria; Bacillati; Mycoplasmatota; Mollicutes; Acholeplasmatales; Acholeplasmataceae
Description: bacterial SSU rRNA
Rfam family: Bacterial small subunit ribosomal RNA
Source: RNAcentral
UGGAUAGGAAGUUUUAAGGCAUCUUGAAACUUUUAAAAGACCCGCAAGGGUAUGCUGAGAGAUGGGCUUGCGGCACAUUAGUUAGUUGGUAAGGUAACGGCUUACCAAGACCAUGAUGUGUAGCUGGACUGAGAGGUUGAACGGCCACAUUGGGACUGAGAUACGGCCCAAACUCCUACGGGAGGCAGCAGUAAGGAAUUUUCGGCAAUGGAGGAAACUCUGACCGAGCAACGCCGCGUGAACGAUGAAGUAUUUAGGUAUGUAAAGUUCUUUUAUUAAAGAAGAAAAAAUGAUGGAAAAAUCAUUCUGACGGUAUUUAAUGAAUAAGCCCCGGCUAACUAUGUGCCAGCAGCUGCGGUAAUACAUGGGGGGCAAGCGUUAUCCGGAUUUAUUGGGCGUAAAGGGUGCGUAGGCGGUUUAAUAAGUCUAUGGUCUAAGUUCAACGCUUAACGUUGUGAUGCUAUAGAAACUGUUUGACUAGAGUUGGAUAGAGGCAAGUGGAAUUCCAUGUGUAGCGGUAAAAUGCGUAAAGAUAUGGAGGAACACCAGUAGCGAAGGCGGCUUGCUGGGUCUUAACUGACGCUGAGGCACGAAAGCGUGGGGAGCAAACAGGAUUAGAUACCCUGGUAGUCCACGCCGUAAACGAUGAGUACUAAGUGUUGGGUUAAACCAGUGCUGAAGUUAACGCAUUAAGUACUCCGCCUGAGUAGUACGUACGCAAGUAUGAAACUUAAAGGAAUUGACGGGACUCCGCACAAGCGGUGGAUCAUGUUGUUUAAUUCGAAGAUACACGAAAAACCUUACCAGGUCUUGACAUACUCUGCAAAGCUAUAGAAAUAUAGUGGAGGUUAUCAGGGAUACAGGUGGUGCAUGGUUGUCGUCAGCUCGUGUCGUGAGAUGUUGGGUUAAGUCCCGCAACGAGCGCAACCCUUAUCGCUAGUUACCAUCAUUUAGUUGGGCACUUUAGUGAGACUGCCAAUGAUAAAUUGGAGGAAGGUGGGGAUUACGUCAAAUCAUCAUGCCCCUUAUGACCUGGGCUACAAACGUGAUACAAUGGCUGUUACAAAGAGUAGCUGAAGCGUGAGUUUUUAGCAAAUCUCAAAAAAACAGUCUCAGUUCGGAUUGAAGUCUGCAACUCGACUUCAUGAAGUCGGAAUCGCUAGUAAUCGCGAAUCAGCAUGUCGUGGUGAAUACGUUCUCGGGGUUUGUACACACCGCCCGUCAAACCAUGAAAG